Long non-coding RNA from Talpa occidentalis (Iberian mole), 1605 nucleotides. RefSeq lists it as uncharacterized. The record is from RefSeq and is a predicted model, not a curated record. The transcript is spliced from 3 exons. NCBI's taxonomy places the organism in Eukaryota, Metazoa, Chordata, Mammalia, Eulipotyphla, Talpidae.
UUUUGGUCAGUGGCCAAGGUCCCCCAGGCUCGGGUGACGCUGACACACAAAGAAAGGUCUUCGGGGACACGCUGUGUUUUGCCACGGUCCUGGGCUCCCGCCGUGCCCCGAGCAGGUGGCUCAGGCCGGCAGCUGCUCAGGGGGGACUGGAGCUCAAAGACGCGCGGCCGCCGGAAGCCUGCGGCAGGGGUCUUGCUAGGUCUCCCGCCUGCCCUGCGGGGCACUCACUCAGGGCUUUAUAAAGGGGACUAAGGGGCUUGCUGAGAAUCAUGGUGCCCCUCCAGGCAUUUCACUGCGCUCCCGUCCCCUGGAGCUACUGACAUGGGGAGGACCUGACACCAGAGGAAGAGCAGGGAGCGGCCUCUCGGAGAGGACUGGUGCUGCGCUCUGUUGCUCGGGGAGCGCCGCGCGUGAGGCAUUAGCACAUUUGUUUAUUUUAAUGCCCACACAGUCCCCUAUUGAGGGUUAGAGAAAAGAUGUUUCAUUUUUCUUGUUUAAGACGGACUCUCAACUCCAGUUUUUCCAGCGCCAAGACGGCACUUUCUGCAGGCACUCACACCACACCACUCCAAGAGAGACCAUCUCCAAGAGGAAGAGGCUGAGUUUCAGACACAGCUUCAUUCUCACGGCAGAAGCUGAGAGACCGAGGAAGCAGGAACGGCUGUUAUCACGAGUCCCAGAAGAAACCGAGCCGCGGAAACAGAGCGGGAACAGCGCUGGGGAGGCACUAAUGGGAACGUCUGCUCGUGUGUGUAAUUGUCACCCACCAGUGGCAGCGGCUCGGCCCCCACCUUAAUUAACGCCGAAGCAGCCGGGCCUGCAGGUCUUUCUGCAGGGAUGCGGGAGAGGACAGGAGAGGCAGGAGAAGCACAGCCGAGCGCCCUAAUGGGCUCUUCACAGCCAGGCUGAUUGACUGUUGAGAAAAGAAGGAACGGCUUGUCCCGCCACGUGGCCUGUGCAGGUAAUCUGUGACAGCCGUGGGUCACACACCUCGUUGUCUGUCUGACAAGGAUGAGGAGCAGCUGUGGCAGGAACAAUCGCAGACCGGCUUGUUCAGACUGAACGGCGGGGCCCGCGCCUGGGCUUCGGGGCUGGGCAGAGAGGAGGCUCCUGCUCACGCGCCCGUGCAGCCCUCCCUGGGGGUGUCGAGUCCUGGCUGCAGCAGGACAGAAGCGCCAUGUCCUGAGAGCCGCCCUUAACCUCCUCCUGGGUGCCAAAGAAAACAUCCUGGACGAGGCAUUCCGCCAGCGUUCUCGUCCUGCUGGUCAGCAGGGCCAUCGCCAGCCUCUGCGCAGGUAAGUACAGGUGAACGCGCGUCCCUCAGACCAGAGCUCCCUGACACCUUCCUGCUGCUCCACUGUACUCAGUCCCCCGUCAUCACCAGCCCCUCCUCCACCGGCCCCCACAGCCUCCUCCCCACCUCCUGUUACACACCCCCACAGACAGGCCUCCCCUACACGCCCACACGCGAAGCGCACAGGGACGUUUCACAACGGGGUCCCAUGGCCUGGGGUCCCGGGGCCGAGUGAGCACUGCAGAGAUGGAAACGAGUCUGCGUGUCUGGAGAAAUCGCUCAUCUCUGGCAUAAUGGAUGCCCUCAGAUCA